GAACCGUGCGAACGUUGUUCGGAAUCACUGGGCUUAAAGGGCGCGUAGGCGGUUCUCCAAGUCAGGGGUGAAAUCCUGCGGCUUAACCGUAGAAGUGCCUUUGAUACUGGAGAUCUUGAGGGAGGUAGGGGUCCGUGGAACUUCUGGUGGAGCGGUGAAAUGCGUUGAUAUCAGAAGGAACGCCGGUGGCGAAAGCGACGGACUGGAUCUCUUCUGACGCUGAGGCGCGAAAGCUAGGGGAGCAAACGGGAUUAGAUACCCCGGUAGUCCUAGCCCUAAACGAUGGGUACUAGAUUGUAAACUAACAUGGGUCUACAGUCGAAGCAAAAGUGUUAAGUACCCCGCCUGGGGAGUAUGGUCGCAAGGCUG
Molecule: ribosomal RNA, 369 nt
Filed under: uncultured bacterium
Lineage: Bacteria
Description: bacterial SSU rRNA
Rfam family: Bacterial small subunit ribosomal RNA
Source: RNAcentral